Non-coding RNA from Diatrype stigma, 131 nucleotides. The record is from the annotation of a GenBank genome assembly. Lineage: Eukaryota; Fungi; Ascomycota; Sordariomycetes; Xylariales; Diatrypaceae.
GUCCGAGUGGUGCAGUGGUUAGCAUGUCGCUCUUAUAUUUCCUUGCUGAUGUCUGGAACACCACGUCCAGACGUCGUUAGCGAGGUCAUCAUGCCAUGCGGAGAUCGCGAGUUCAAUCCUCGCCUUGGACA